UACGUAGGGUGCAAGCGUUAAUCGGAAUUACUGGGCGUAAAGCGUGCGCAGGCGGUUAUGCAAGACAGAGGUGAAAUCCCCGGGCUCAACCUGGGAACUGCCUUUGUGACUGCAUAGCUAGAGUGCGGCAGAGGGGGAUGGAAUUCCGCGUGUAGCAGUGAAAUGCGUAGAUAUGCGGAGGAACACCGAUGGCGAAGGCAAUCCCCUGGGCCUGCACUGACGCUCAUGCACGAAAGCGUGGGGAGCAAACAGG
Molecule: ribosomal RNA, 253 nt
Filed under: uncultured bacterium
Lineage: Bacteria
Description: partial 16S ribosomal RNA
Rfam family: Bacterial small subunit ribosomal RNA
Source: RNAcentral